RNAcentral lists this transfer RNA (61 nucleotides) under bovine gut metagenome. It matches the Rfam family "tRNA", at positions 6 to 62 of the family's 71-position model. From Rfam's summary of the family: Transfer RNA (tRNA) molecules are approximately 80 nucleotides in length. Their secondary structure includes four short double-helical elements and three loops (D, anti-codon, and T loops). Further hydrogen bonds mediate the characteristic L-shaped molecular structure. tRNAs have two regions of fundamental functional importance: the anti-codon, which is responsible for specific mRNA codon recognition, and the 3' end, to which the tRNAs corresponding amino acid is attached (by aminoacyl-tRNA synthetases). tRNAs cope with the degeneracy of the genetic code in two manners: having more than one tRNA (with a specific anti-codon) for a particular amino acid; and 'wobble' base-pairing, i.e. permitting non-standard base-pairing at the 3rd anti-codon position. The record is from RNAcentral.
CUUUAGCUCAGUUGGUUAGAGCAUCUGACUGUUAAUCAGGGGGUCCUAGGUUCAAGUCCUA